This 18293-nucleotide long non-coding RNA is filed under the name Malus domestica (apple). The record is from RNAcentral. Lineage: Eukaryota; Viridiplantae; Streptophyta; Magnoliopsida; Rosales; Rosaceae.
UAAUUUUUGGUUUUUUAUAUUAGCACCCCACAAAAUGUUGAAUGCAUCACACAUUAAAAUUUAAUAUUAAAUAACUUAUUUAUUCUACUAUGCAAUGACAAUUUUGACCUUAUUAGGUUAAAAAAAAAAAUAAUUCUAUAUACACCCCCAAUCACUUUUAACGUAUUAUUUAUCUUCUUCAACUAUCAAAAACCCUUCGACUCUCUAUUGUUGAACAAAAACCUAACCAAUGAAACUACAAACAUGUUGAUUGAGAAAAUUAUUUUUGAUUAAUGAAACACGAAAUCGAUGUUUCUGAAGCUUCACAUGUUGUAGACUUCGCAUUAUUUAUUGUUUUAGUGAUUUUGACAACAUCAAUAAUUAUUUAAUCUUGCUUUUGAUGUGUUAUUUAAGCUUCUAUGUUCGUAUUCAUCUUUUAGGGAUCACAGGGAUUACAUGAAGAAUUAAACAUCUAAAAUUACCACCAAAUAUUAAAAACAGACGACAUGAGUUUUAAUGGUGGAAUUAAAAACAACCCACAUAUGCUUUAAAUCCCAGGCGGCAUCUUUUGUCAAACUUUUAAUCAACAUUAUUUGUCCAAAUUAAAAGGUUUGUAAGAUUUAAGAAAUGUGGGGUGUAUAGAAAAUAUGGGAUGCAUAUAGAAAAUGUUAGGUGUAUAUUAAGAAUGUGGGGUGUGAGGAUAUUAUGGGAAAGUAUGUGGGGUGUAUUAAGAUAAUUUUUAAAUAAAAAAGCAAAUGUGGGGUGUAUUAAGUAUGUGAGGUUUAUUUAAUAAUUUGUAGGAUGUUAAUAUAAUAAGCCUAAUUUUUUAAUAAACAUAGACUAUGCCAAGUUCCUCUUCCGCUGCUUGAUGAUCUCUCUACUCACUAUUCAAUCAAGGGAGUUGACUUCUAUUUAUGGAAAAUAUACAAAAUAAUAGAAUAUGAUUUGAUCAACAGCGUAGAUGGUGCUUAUAAUCAUGUCUAUGCACAUUAGUGCGACUUAGAAGAAAUGCAAGGAGGAAUUUAUAAAGACAAAGGUUACUUGCUGUUCGCUGCAAAAAAGGGCAUUCAAAGGACAAUUUUCCCAAGUUUUUCACCGCCGUUUUUACCAUUCGCUACAAAAAAACAAAUACUCCCCCCCCCUGCGAGCUCCUUGUGUUUGGUUGUAUCUAACGAUCCCUAAUACCAAAUUUAAGGUUUAGAUAUAUAAAAAAGAUAUCUCAGGUACUUCAUUGCUAUCCAUUAUGCUCCCCAGUUUCAAGCAGAGCAAAAAAUUGUAAUUGAGUUGAUUUUUGAACAUGCAGAGCAGUUAGACAUCUGAAUUACCAAUCUUUAUUAUUAUUGCAAUAAACACACAGAUUACACUAAAAGCUAGUGAAUCAUAAACUUGCAGAUGACUUAUCCAAACACAAAGAUAAGACAUGAGUUUAUUAUUGUUGCUAUAAACACAGGGAUUAUAGCGAAAUUCAAAAACUAAAAACAAGGAAAAAAGUAGUGAUGAAAACAAAUGCCACUUUUGUGGGGAACACGAUUGCAUUCGCACAUGCAACAAGCCUUUUAAACCCAUAGGUGACCCAAAUAGGACGAGUGAAGUCUCGUGAGGGUUUCCAGAGACGUUACCCACAAACAUCAUGCAUACUGAUCAUCAACAUCUGCCUUGGGAGACUGAGUAGAUAUCCACCCCUCCAGCAUCAGGUGUUUUUUGGUUGAGGCGCAAUUCGAAUCUGUUUUCAAUGAACGGCCUGGUUAAGAGGUCGCUUUGCAAGUGACGUAAUCGGCAGCGCGUGAUUAGGUUGUUGCUGUCAGGUGGUCCGACAGGCUCGACCUUGAACAAUGUGCAAGCCCAAUUGUCUUUGGUUUCAUUUCGGUCAGCAGCUGCGGCCAGGACCAAUAGCCUGUUUUGGUCCACCCUUCUCAAGUAGUUGCCGUUGUAGGAGCAUUUGAUAUGCACGUAAUUCUUGUCGGCGUAGUCCUCAUUGUUUGGCUUCUCAGUGGUGAACUUUACGAACCUGCUGUUUUCAUUGUCCUCGGAAAAUUGGACAAUCUCAUUAAGGUCGCUUUCUGCAUCAAGUUGAUAACGCAAAUACUUGUUGUUGGUAUCUGCUUUCAGCAGAAAGGGGCUUGGUAGUACAGGUGGAGCCAUGUUGUAUAGUGUAGUUGGGAUUGGGAUGAACUCUCUUUUUUUCUUCUCUCUUGAUGGUUUAAUUUGCUUGCUGUGAGUGUGUUGCUCUGUUCAAACCUGCUAUCCUAUUUAUAAGAAAUUAAGCACAAGCUAGCUCAAGUUAUGGUCUUUAAUUAAUAUUAUUUUCGACAAAUCAGUUUCCCAUGUCUUUCAUUGAUAUGAACAUGGCUGAUCUCAUUGGUGUGACGCAAGAUUUGUUAAAAUAGCUGAUCGGAUUGAUUUCUUUGUAUAACUCUUCUGCCAAUUCUGCAACUUGUAGAUGCAAUUCCCAUUACAAAAUAAAAAAUAAAAAAUAAAAUCCUAAACUCAUAUAAGAUAAAUAAAGACUUUAUUUACGGGAUCGAAUGCACAUUGAUGGGUGCGCAUUUUCCUUCGUCAUCUUUUCUGUGCUAUUAACUUGUGCGAUUGUCGACUUUCAUAAAUUACAACGGCUACAGGUAAAAUGUCACCCUAGUUUUGAUAAAUAGUGAAGGCAUAUGGCAAAGUCUGUGCGGUCGUUUUUCAUGAAGCAAAUUCUUGUAGGUCUAAUGAUGGGGCAUAUGACAAAAACUUCUUUCUUGUUUAAAACUGAGCAUAAAUUUUAAAUUUUGUUAUAACAUUUCACAACUAUUAAAGGUUAACUCAAUGGCCGUAAGCACCAAAGAGAAAAAUGGUUAAGUGAAUGUUAUUAGAAUUAUAUAAAACUGCUUGCAUAGUAUUUUACGAAUAAGAAAUUUUAUAGAAUAUAGAAUAAGUAUUUCUUUUUAAAAAAAAAAAAUUGGGAUGGUAUAUUACACUAAAAUAUUUGUUGUAGAAUUUAGAUAUGAUCAUAGAAAAAGACUUUGCAAAAUGUCAAAAAAUUUAUACCACGUAGAAUGACUAUAAUUGCCAGAUAGUUAAAAGUUUUGCAACAUGUAAUCGACAUGGUUUCAUAGGACCUACAUCUAGUUGACUUGGUUGUUAAAAUUAAUGUAAGACUUUUAGUUGAUAUUUCUUGAGGGUGAAACACCUUUUGAGAAACGUUUUGGGCCUCAUUACAAUUUUUUCACUUAUCUUUUAUGUUUCAACUUAAAUAUUCUACUAUAAAUACAUUUGGGGCUUAACAACUGGUAAAACCAUUUCCAGAUGUAUUUUAAAGAUUUUCUUAAUGUCACGGAAAAUAUUUUACGAAAAUGAAAGAUUUGAAUUUCCACAAAAAAACGUUGGUUAACUCACGGUUUUUUGUCGGUUUUGUAAAUUUGUAUAAAUAUCUUCGUUAAAUCUAUUUGUUUUCACAUUAACCUCACUGUGAGGUACUUAAAAUUAAUGUAACUUUCCGUCGAUAUUCUUGAGUAUUGACCCUUGUUAAGGCAAAGAUUUGGGCCUCACUACAUUUUUUUUCAUUUAUGUCUUAGGUUUCGGCUUUCACAAAGCACAAGGCUGUAGACCUGAAGUUUUGAUUAAAAAUAUUUGUAACAUGACAGCAUAUGGCUAUAGGCGUGGAGUCUUUGCUAACAAUUAAAAGUUUUGUAAUAAAAUAUUUGACUUGGUUUAUAAGACCUACAUCUAGAUGAUUUGGUUUUUAAAACAAAUAUAAGACUUUUUGUUGAUAUUUCUUGAGGAUGAAACACCAGUUGAGAAACGUCUUGCAUCUCAUUACAAUUUUUUUUUUCAUUUAUUUUUUAGGUUUCAACUUAAAUAUUAUACUAUAAAUACAUAUGUGGCUCAAUAAUUGGUAAAACCAUUUCCAAAUCUCUUGUAAACAUUUUCUUAACGUCAUGGAAAAUAUUUUACAAAAAUAAAACAUUUGUAUUUUUCACAAAAGACAAAGGUUAACAAUCACGGUUUUUAUAUCGGUUAUACAAAUUCAUUCGAAAAUCAUCAUUAAGUCUAUUUGUUUUCACAUUCGCCUUAUCGUGAGGUACUUAAAAAUAAUGUAUAGCUUUCCGUCACUAUUCUUGAGUAUAGAGCGUAGUUAAGGCAAAUAUUUGGGGCCCACUACCAUUUUUUUUCAUUUAAUUUUAAGUUUCGGCUUAGAUAUACCAUUUAAACUAAAUCUUGGAUCAAUAAUUGGAAACAAAUACUCUCCCCAUGCGAGCUCCUUCGUCAAUUCCCCUGGCGAACUCUGAGUGCCUCUAAAGAAAUGAUUAACUGAAAUUAGAAUUUUUGAAACCUUGUGUUUGGUUGUAUCUAACGAUCCCUAAUACCAAAUUUAAGGUUUGGAUAUAUAAAAAAGAUAUCUCGGGUAAUUCAUUGCUAGCCAUUAUGCUCCCCAGUUUCAAGCAAAGCAAAAAAUUCUAAUUGAGUUGAUUUUUUAACAUACAGAGUAGUUAGACAUCUGAAUUACCAAUCUUUAUUAUUAUUGCAAUAAACACACAGAUUACACUAAAAGCUAGUGAAUCAUAAACUUGUAGAUGACUUAUCCAAACACAAAGAUAAGACAUGAGUUUAUUAUUGUUGCUAUAAACACCCGGAUUACAGCGAAAUUCAAAAACUAAAAACAAGGAAAAAAGUAGUGAUGAAAACCAAUGCCACUUUCGUGGGGAACACGAUUGCAUUCGCACAUGCAACAAGCCUUUUAAACCUAUAGGUGACCCAAAUGGGAAGAGUGAAGUCUCUCGUGAGGGUUUCCAGAGACGUUACCCACAAACAUCAUGCAUACCGAUCAUCAACAUCUGACUUGGGAGACUGAGUAGAUAUCCACCCCUCCGGCAUCAGGUGUUUUUUGGUUGAGGCGCAAUUCGAAUCUGCUUUCAAUGAAUGGUCUGGUUAAGAGGUUGCUUUGCAAGUGACGUAAUCGGCAGCGCGUGAUUAGGUUGUUGCUGUCAGGUGGUCCGACAGGCUCGACCUUGAACAAUGUGCAAGCCCAAUUGUCUUUGGUUUCGUUUCGGUCAGCAGCAGCGGCCAGGACCAAUAGCCUGUUUUGGUCCACCCUUCUCAAGUAGUUGCCGUUGUAGGAGCAUUUGAUAUGCACGUAAUUCUUGUCGGCGUAGUCCUCAUUGUUUGGCUUCUCGGUAGUGAACUUUAUGAACCUGCUGUUUUCAUUGUCCUCGGAAAAUUGGACAAUCUCAUUAAGGUCGCUUUCUGCAUCAAGUUGAUAGCGCAAAUACUUGUUGUUGGUAUCUGCUUUCAGCAGAAAGGGGCUUGGUAGUACAGGUGGAGCCAUGUUGUAUAGUGUAGUUGGGAUUGGGAUGAUCUCUCUUUUUUUCUUCUCUCUUGAUGGUUUAAUUUGCUUGCUGUGAGUGUGUUGCUCUGUUCAAACCUGCUAUCCUAUUUAUAAGAAAUUAAGCACAUGCUGGCUCAAGUUAUGGUCUUUAAUUAAUAUUAAUUUCCUCAAUCAGUUUCCCAUCUCUUUCAUUGAUAUGAACAUGGAUGAUCUCAUUGGUGUGACGCAAGAUUUGUUAAAAUAGCUGAUCGGAUUGAUUUGUUUGUAUAACUCUUCUGCCAAUUCUGAAACUUGUACAUAUAAUUCCCAUUAUAAAAUAAAUAAACAAAACCCAAAACUCAUAUAAAAUAAAUAGUGUUGUGAAAUCGACUGUGGGUGCAGUGGAAUAAAUGAAACAAGACCCAAAAUUUACGAGGUUCCUCUACAGUCAGUGUGACUGGAGUACGUCCUCGGGGCAGCAGUGGUGCUUUCAUUAUAAUUUGAAAUAAUAGGAGUACAAAGAUAACUCUCUUUAUAUCUCCCCCUCAUCUUCCUCUUCUUCCUCUCUUCCUCUUCUUUCCUCUCUCUCUCUCUCUUCCUUUCUUCCUUUUCCUUCUUUUCUCAAGUGAACCCUUAAUCACUUCAUCUCCUCUUCUUCCUUUAUAUAAACAAAAGAAAGCACUAUUCACUUUACAAAUUUUCCACAAAUGAAUAGUGAAAAUACUGUGCAUAAAUAGUAACAAACUAUUCAUGUGGACCAUCCACAUAAUAUUUACAACACUCCCCCUUGGAUGGCCACAAGUCUUCGAUUGACUCGUUAAAAUCUUGAUCUGUCUUGGAUGCUCCCCCUGAUGAGUAUCUCCCCCUGAUUUCAAAUCAUUUAGGUUGAUCGUUGAUCGUUCUGCUUUAGUCUCUUAGUAAGAAGAGUUGCUGAAAGAGUUGCUUUACUUGUUGUUAACUUUCCACAUGCUUUUUCUUGAACUGGGUUGUAGGACUUUCUGCUAGACUAGCAUCGAAGAUCUGAAUUUACUCCUUUUAUCUGGAGCGGAAUUUGAUUCAAAAGUGGUGGACACUUGAUCUUGAAUCGGACUUAUGAUUUUUUUCAAAGACUUCGAGGCUUGAUCUUGAAUGAAAUUGUACCGUUAAGAGCUUCAUGUGGCAAGUGAUCUUCGGUUUUGUCGGGGAUGAAUCAGCACGUGUUUGUUGCGCUUGUCUCCACAUGCUUCAAUGUAUCAUUUUCACUUGUCUUACUUGCUCCCCUUGCUUAAGUGGUAUUUUCCCUGGUUUUCCCCUACAUGUGUGGCAUCUUUUCUUGUAGGAUUUGUCCCCUGAUGCAGGAGAGGAAUGCAAACCCUUGCAUUUGAAUGGUUCAUCACUUCUUGGUGACUGGAGACCCAGCUCCAACCGUUGAAGAUGACUACUCGAGAGCAAUACUAGGUAAGUAAUCAGGAAAGGUUCCAGGCAGUCGGUUCCUUACCGGGAGUUUGAGUGGAGGUUCCGACAUAUUGCUUUCUUUAUCCUUAUCUUUGCAGGCAAGAACAAGGACAAAGGAAAGGACAGGGAGAUUGCAUGAUAUGAGAUAAUCUUGCUCUGGUCCCUGAAGAUAUGUGAUAAUCUUGCUCUGGUGUGACAUGUUUGAAGAGGUAUUCUCGGAGAGGAAGAAAACUGAGUAUUCCGAGAUGCUAUGUUGAAGAUGCAUUCUCGGAGAUGAGGAAGAGUUAGGUAUUCUUGCAGUGUUGCGGGUCUGCCUUGUUAUGGAGAACAUAUGUUGACAUAUAUAGAGAUUUCUCAAUAGCAAAUGGUGGUGCUGUGCUUUUACUCUUGUCAGCAACUGUGGUGUAAAUAGAACAGUAAGAUUUACGCGUUUUCAACUUUGUCAGAGAUCUUUGACAAAGUUGCACGCGAUAUCUGAAAAGCUGAGAUUACGUCUGAAAAAUGCCAACGAAUUUUAUUCAGGAAAAUCUGGCUUUUGAAAUUCGAAGAGCGGUGCCUCAUCGAUCUUUGAACAAGUGGCUAUGCGGCCUCUUCUUUUAUAGAGACAUCAAUUGUGUUCAAGAGUAUGCUCAGAAAGUUGCUGCUUGUAGAAAUUUCCCCUAUCUUGCACCUUUGAAAUUUUAUUUGACCUCUGUUUUUCCUUUAUUAUUUCUGAAAAAUGACUUGCCCAUCUAACAUUUGCUUAGAUUUGAGUCUUAGGAGUGAUAUAGACGAGCAGCGUCAGGAUAAUAUAUGGCGCCCGUCCUUCUUAUCUUCUAAUGGUCCUCUUACGGUUGAGGAUUCUGUGAUGAAGAAUAACAUAAUCGCUACUGUGGUAGCUAGGAAUCUUCUCACUCCAAGGGAUAACAAGAUCCUUUCAGAACGGUCUGAAGAGUCGGCCGUUCAAGACUCCUUGGCUCUCAGUGUUCAGUGUGCUGGCUCUGUGUCCAAUAUGGGCCAACGCCUACUUGCUCAAACUCGCCAAGUUGAAUCAUUGAUGGCGGAGGUGGCAAGUCUUAAACAAGAUAUCAGAGGGCUCAAGCACGAGAAUAGGGUGUUACACGUGCUUGCAAAUAAUUACUCUACGAGCAUGAAAAGAAAGCUCGUCCAACUGCAGGAAUCCGAAAGUCGGAUUCAAAAUGAUCACCAGAGGUUCGUUGCUAGAUUCCGAAAGCAACUGAUGCCUUCCCCUUCUGGUGUUUUGCUAAGUACUGGGGUGCCACAUGAUCAAUCUCCAGUGCCUCCCCCUUCUGGGGUACUUCCGAGUACUGAGGCUUCACAUGAGCAACCUUUGUGAAGGCUCCAUCCUGUUUGUUUGUUUUAACUCAUGUGUAUGUCAUAUAUUGUAUUUCUUGAGUAUAUCUGUAAUUUCUUGGAGAUUAAUAAAUAAACUUUAAUUUCAAUGUAUUGUGCCAAAUACAAUAAAGCAUAUACUUCACUAAGAUGCGGUACUUCUGGACCAAAUAUUAAUUUAUCUUUACCUUCACAAAGAUAAAUGAUUAUUCUUAGUGUCUUCAUCAUAUGAGUAUUCAACUCAUAAUCUUCAAUCCAUAUGGUUCUUUUAAUAUCAUAAAUAUCAUGGAUAAGAUUCGUGUUGGUAGAUUGUUCGAUCUGCAGCUCGAGACAAUAAUUCUUUCAACACUUUAUAAUUUUUCUAGACUCUUCAGGAGUCCCAAUUUAAUAUUAUCAACUCUUCAAGAGUUAUAAUUUAAUGUCAUUGACUCUUGCAAGAGAUUUUAGUAUGUUGCAACAAUAUCAUAAUGAUAGUACUCACUAAGGCAAUUUAUAUCAUCCAUUGGUAUUGAGUACAUAUUUUAUGUUUUACCCUUCAGAGGCUUACUUCAAGCAAUUUGAAUCCUUCAAGGGUUUUCUACACUUCAUGACACAUUUUCCUUUGGAAUUUAUACAGAGCAAUUUGCUCCCAUGUAUACUUGAGGGAUUUACUUAUGGAGAUAUAAUGUGGGUGACUCACAACCCUUCGUAUAUAAUUCUCCAUUUAUAUGAACUUGUUUACAAGAGUAUAAUUUCAGGUUUCAAUUAGUAACCUUAUGUCAUAUCAUGUGAGUGUAUUACACUGUAUUACAAAUGCCCAUAUGUAACCUCCUUGAUUCAACAUCUUUUGGCUAUUUGUAUUGUAUUCAAAUAUAUAUAUAGGUUCAUUUGCCCACGUUCUUACAAAAUUGUAAUGGAAUUGCCUUUCUCCAUUUUGGCCAAUAAUUUUUCUUUUGUCGACGAACAAAAGAACGUGACUCAAUAUUAACACAGCUCAUUGAUGAAUUUAGUAGUUACUUGUAAAAACCAAAAUUACCAUUGGUUAUCAUCAAUCCGUGAUCCCAUAUUCUCAUGUGCAUGCGCAUGCAUAAAAGCUUUUCAUUUCUUUGGAUAUCCAUUGCCUCUUCAAGGGCAUGACGCUAUCUCUUCCAGGAUAGUCAUAAUUUAGAGAAUGUGGAUCAUAACCUCCUCUUGAGCGUUAUAGAGCUUGGAUUUUAAUCUCCACUUCCGGGAGUUGAGUCAUUGGAACCUAUAUAUCUAUUAUGCUCCAUGUAUGAGACAUCAACAUUCCCAUGUCUGUGGAUUGUCCUAUCUGGGACGUGUAUCCAUGCGGCGACUGUCAUGCUUCUGGCAUGCAACAGUUAUGCUUCGGGAAUGCAAUAGUUCAGUAGUACCAUAUUAUUCUUCUUUCGAAUAACUAAACCUUUUGAGUCUAAAAAUCUGCCACGCUUCAGGCGUGCAACAGAUAAAUCAUUUACUGUCUCAUUAUUUUAUCCAACAGAGACAUCAAUUCUUGUAGGCACAUUUGCAGUAAGUAUAUAUGAUUUCAUCACUUUCGUUGCAUCAUUCAAUUAUUCAUAUUUCAUUUUCUCAUUGAUUGCUUCGUGAAUCAAAAUAAGACAAAUUAUCUUCGUUCUUCUGGAACGGUCUUUUCUCAUCAUUCUUUUGGAAUGAUAUUUUCUCAUCGUUCUUCUGGAACGACGUUAUUUUCUCCCCUAAUGGCGGGAAAACUGUCUUAUCAAAAUCAUAGUCCGCAAAUCAUGCGGUAGACAUAUCCCCAGUCAAGGGUUCCAAAUAUUGAAUGAUAGAUGGUGUUCAACAUCAAUGCCUAAUCUGCAAUGAUGCCUCAUUUCAGUAUGUUGUGGCAGUCUUACAGGCACAUAGACAACACAACAAAAAACUCAUAAAUGUAUAAUGUUUGGUUGGUUCCCAAACCCGAGUUGUACUGAGAAGUAUUGAUGGUUGAUAACAUAUCUCAACCGAAUUAAUAAUGCAUCAUGUAAAGUUUACAUGUCCCCAUGUAGAAAACUGGCAAUUUCGUUUUCAUGAGCAGAGCGUUGGUAAUCAAUUUCACCCACUUAAUAAAUGCUUCUGCUAAACCAUUUUGAGUAUGGACAUGAGGAACUUCUGGUCCUUGUUUAAUAGUCUGUGAACUGAGACUCUUAUGUCCUUUAUUAUGGUUAAGUUGAGGCACUGCGGCACUUUAAACUUACGGUACUCAUCAAGGAAUUUCAUGUCCUGAUCUUCAUGAUCAAAGGACUUCAUGCCUGAUCUUUUUGUUUAAUGGAACUUCAGGUCCAAUCAUUUGUAUAUGAUGAGGAUCAAGAAACUGCAGGUUCUGAUCUGAUCAAUGAACUUUAGGUCUUAUAUAUACUCAUUGUAACAAAAGAUAAGUACAAUAAAUAAAUUAAAGCAAUAGGCGGUAAUUCCAGCCAUAGUAAAUGAAUUGAACAAUAAAUAAAUUAAAGCUUAUGACAAGGGCUUUAAUUCAGCACCAUUCACAUAAAUCAAAACUUAAAGCAGUAGGCGGUAAAACCGUCCAUGAUAAAUAAAUUGCUUUAAAGUAAAUAGAACUUGUGACAUGGGCUUUAAACCAACACCAUGCACAUAAAUAAUAUAUACAUAUUUUCUUCUUUCUUUUCAGAUGGUGUAACACCAUCGAAAAUCCUUUACCUUUAUUAUUAUUUUUCUUAUUCAUUCACAUGCUACAACAUUCCAAAAACUUUUGGUUUUAUUUCUUUUAUUUUACAUGGUGCAACGCACCUUUCUAAAUCAUUGGCCACAUUUCCCCUUUUCUUUGUCUAUCUCUACUAGUCUCGAAACCCAGUACCAGCUGGGUUGUUGUGGGGGUUACACAAAACCAAUUCAAUCCAAAAAGGCUACCAGAGACUGGCGUUGUUCUUGCAUGGCCCAAAGAACAUGGCAUCGCAAAGCAAGAACCUCUCCAUAGAGACAUAGAUGACAGUGAGGUUGACGAAGGCACAAGAGAGGAAGGCCUGUGUGAAGUCAGUCAUGCCAUCACCAUCUCAGACAACUGAGGAUUCAUGGAGGUCCUCGAGAUCCAUUGAGAACGACACGAUCUGGGUUUCCAAGUCUAAUGAGAUUCUUCUGGAUCUCUGGAAACCAGUUGUCAGGUACGAGUUUUCUUAUCUCGUGACGACUUCAGGUCGUUGUAAAUUUCAAUUCGCACCGGAAUUCGGUGGGGCGCUUCUGGCGCGGUGGGAGAAACGAAAAAUGGACAUACCUUUGCUUGUUUUGCUGUACUUUUGUUUGUCUAUAAGAUCUCUCCAUCUUUCUUGUCCACGAGAGAAAAAAUAGAUUGCAGAUCUAGCAGGGAUAAGGAUUAGCACAUCAAUAGUUAGAGUGAUAAAAGAAAAGUGAUAAAAGAAAGGUUGAUGUAAUUUUGACAAGAUGAUCUUCCCUGUUUAACAUGUCUGGCUUGCCGUCUCUACUCUGUGAGAUUUUAGCUGACCGAGGUGAGAGGUAGAUAAUGCUUUACCAGAUUUAUGAUGUUGUGCUUUCCACUGACAUGAGAGCUUUUCGUGCUGAUAACGUGUUGUGAAAUCGACUGUGGGUGCAGUGGAAUAAAUGAAACAAGACACAAAAUUUACGAGGUUCCUCUACAGUCAGUGUGACUGGAGUACGUCCUCGGGGCAGCAGUGGUGCUUUCAUUAUAAUUUGAAAUAAUAAGAGUACAAAGAUAACUCUCUUUAUAUCUCCCCCUCAUCUUCCUCUUCUUCCUCUCUUCCUCUUCUUUCCUCUCUCUCUCUCUCUUCCUUUCUUCCUUUUCCUUCUUUUCUCUCGUGAACCCUUAAUCACUUCAUCUCCUCUUCUUCCUUUAUAUAAACAAAAGAAAGCACUAUUCACUUUACAAAUUUUCCACAAAUGAAUAAUGAAAAUACUGUGCAUAAAUAGUAACAAACUAUUCAUGUGGACCAUCCACAUAAUAUUUACAACAAAUAGAGACUUUUUAUGGCAUAUAUAUAAAAUAAGACUUUCUAACUUGUUCAAGAUUAUAGUCACAAGAUCGAAUAUACAUUGAUGGGUGCGCAUUUUCCUUCGUCAUCUUUUAUGUGCUACUAAUUUGUGCGAUUGUCAACUUUCAUAAAUUACAAUGGCUACAGGUAAAAUGUCACUCUAGUUUUGAUAAAUAGUGAAGGCAUAUGGCAAAAAUAGUGAAGGCAUAUGGCAAAUGUCUACAAUUUGAUAUCAGAGCCAAUUCCUAGUCGAGAGUAUGCUGACGAGGACGUCGGGCCCCUAAGGGGGGUGGAUUGUAACAUCCCACAUCGCCCAGGGGAGUGGAUCAUGUAAGCCUUAUAUGUAUAUUCCCAUCUCUACGUAGCACGAGGUCUGUUGGGAGCUCACUGGCUUCGGGUUCCAUCAGAACUCCAAAGUUAAGCGAGUUCGCAUGAGAGCAAUCCUAUGAUGGGUGACCCACUGGGAAGUUCUCGUGUGAGUUCCUAGAAACAAAACCGUGAGGGCGUGGUCGGGGCCCAAAACGGACAAUAUCGUGCUAUGGCGGGGCCUAGGAUGUGGUAGGGGCUCGGGUCGGGAUGUGAUAAUUUGAACCCGAAGCCAGUGAGCUCCCAAAAGGCCUGGUGCUAGGUAGAGAUGAGAAUAUACAUAUAAAGCUUACAAGAUCCAUUCCCCUGGGCGAUGUGGGAUAUUACGAUCUACCCCCUUAGGUGCCCGACGUCUUUAUUGGCACACAUUCGGCCAGGGAUUGGCUCUAAUACCAAAUUGUCACUUUCCGGCCCGAGUCCCCACCACAUCCCAGGCUCGACUCCACCGUAGCAUGAUAUUGUCCACUUUGGGCCCUGACCACACCCUCGCGGUUUUGUUUCUGGGAACUCAUACGAGAACUUUACAGUGGGUCACCCAUCAUGGGAUUGCUCUCGCGCGAACUCGCUUAACUUUGAAGUUCCGAUGAAACCCGAAACUAGUGAGCUCCUAAAGGCCUCGUGCUAGGUACAGAUGGGAAUAUACAUAUAAGGCUUACAUGAUCCACUCCCCUGGGCGAUGUGAGAUGUUACAAUUAAUGUUCAGUAAAAUAUUUUUUGAAAAUAACAAUUGCAUUUUAGACAAAAAAAAAAUGUAACGAUUUUUAGACGGUUUUGAAAAUUUGUAAAAAAAAACGACAUCGAUAUUUUUACACAAAGGGGAUGAGGAGUUUGGCUAAGCCACACAAAGGGUAGCCUAAUUUGAUAUCAAAUUUGCCAUCCACAAGAUUCAAACCUAAGACCUCCCACUUCCAAGUAGAGAGGAAUACUACCAGACCGUAGUACUGAGUGGCAAAAAAUCAUCAUUAAAUCUACUUUUUUCACCUUGGCCUUUCCAUGAUGUUUCAAAACUAAUGUAAGGCUUUACGUUAAUAUUCUUGAGUACAAGCCCCAAUUUAUGCAAUGUUUCGGGCCUUACUUGACACGCCCCAACCCCGAUAUCCUCACAUACCAGGGUAGGCACGUACUGGCCGACACCCAAGGGUGACGAAGCCAUUUUAAACAUGCAUACAAAUAAAGAAUAUGCAAUUAGAACGAAAAAUUCCAUUACAAGAACAUGUUCAGAGCAUAUAACUACUAAGAAUACUAUGGAAGAAUUACUAAGAAAAGAUACGAACAAGGAAAUGAUACUUAUACUGAGAAGACUCGAGGAUACCUAUGCCAAAAUACCAUAACGCCGAGAUCAUGUGCCUCGAUCCUAACUCCUGAAGGGGUGCAAAAUAGAAAAGGUGAGUGGACCAAAGUUUAUAAUAAUAAUACUAAUAGUAGGAAAACAUUUUAUUUCUGAACAUAAUAACCCCCUGUUUUGAAAACACAUAUAAUACUACAUAGAGGUUUUAUAAAAACCCUAGCAUGCCAUGUAAAACAUUCGUAAAACAUGUAUGUAAAACUAGUGUUGAAAAUUGUACUAACGCCCAAAGGCAAAUCUAUAAAUGUCAUUAGUGAGGUACUCAACUAGGUGUAUCAUAGUUGUCCAAAGGCAGUACCUGUCCAUCACCCGAAGGUGAAGCUGAAUAAAAUAGCGUACAUCCACACUGACACUACUAAUGAUGCUGUCCGACAUUACUUUCGACAGUGAAGCUAGGGGUAUAUAAUAUAUCAUAUCUCACUCCUCUAUCCUCUGUGUCCUACGACCAAAGACAUCUAUACCUGUGGUGUGCGGAUGUGCCAUAUGAUAACCUACUAGCUAGUACCAAAAACUUAUCUCCAAAACUCGUAUCAAAAUAUGGAGCUCGCUAGGUCAAACCUCAUCUCAUAAAUCCAAGAUAAAUCGUAUUCAUGAAAUCCAUAAAAUAAUUCAUGUUUGUAAAACCGUAAUAUAAAUCAUAUUCAAAAAUCAUAGAAAUCCAUAUAUACGAAUCCAAUAAUUCAAUACCUUUAAUGAAAUGUAAUUUCGAUAAAUCAAACUAUUUCGUAAACCAUAAUUAUAAAAGUCUAUAAAGCAUAUUAUAAAUCAUAUUCAAAUCAUGAAAUAUGGAAUGCAUGCUAGGCUAAUACUUUAUAAAAACAAGUAAGUUAAGAAGGGGUCCACUCACUGAUUUUAUUGCCCAAGAACUGCUCGAACUAGCUAGGAUCACGUCGCUUCCCGCCAACGCACCUAAACACAAUUAGGGACCAUUUAGUUAAACUCUACUAACAUGUUAGAAUUUAAAACGGACGGCGAAUUCGGAUCCGGGGCGUAAAAAAACCUAACGAGGGACCUCGGGUUUUCCCCCACGCAUUGUCGUACGAGCGGCCAUAAGGUUACGUUCCUGAAGGCCACGCAGAGCCACACGUGGCGGCAGACCACCUCGACUCGCUGAAAAAUUUAACAAUUCUAAAAAUUCCCAAAUUUUACAGGAAUGAAGAUCUCAAUGAAAGGAACAACUUUCAUACUUAGGUCGAGGUCCAAUUCGACUGGGAAACACCUCAAAUUGCCCUCGAUCCCAGCAGAACCCUAGAAAUGGGUGCUCUCCAAUUCGUCCUCAAAUUGAACCCAACGCCCCCAAACUUGUGUGGGCUUUGUUCCUGGGUUCAAGAUGAGUGGUUUGAUGGUAGUGGUGGUCGACGUAGCUUUCAUGAUCGGCAAAUCUCUACCGUGGCACCCCCGGAACCCACGGGUUUCGUUCUGCACGAAUUCAAGGUUAAACCUAGUGAAAUUUGGUUGGAAAUGGAGAAGGAGAAGAUGAUGGUUAGUUUGCAGGUGGUGGCGAGGUUUGGAUCGCCCGAAAACCAGUGGAAACAGGUCAGAAAGGUCACGCUAUAGGUCGGGUUAGCGGGGAGGAACCGACUCAAGGGUGAUCCAGUACUCCUCCGCUCUCUCAUUUCUCCUCAUUUCUCUCCUUUCUCAUUGGUCACUUUUUCUCUUUCUCUUCUUUCUCAUUGGGCAUCCACCCUCAUUUCUGUCAUUUCUCCUCCAUCCAUCUCUCUCCCUUCUAUUCAUUCUUUUCCAUCAUAGCCACAUACAUGGUACAAACUGAUGCUCCAACAAAAUCUAGAGCCUUUCAGAUUUAUUGUCAAUUGACCAUUUUGCCAUCGACUUCGUUCGUUAAUAACUCUUUCAUUAUAACUCCAAUUUACGUUCCGUUUACGCCCACGCAUUCCUAGUGACAAGUGCUACAAGUAUACACCAAGAAAAGGGAUCUCAUGUGACACAACAAAGCGGUCAACAAAAGUCAACGUAUUUGCCUCAAAGGGUAUUUUCAUAAUUUCACAUUUUAAAAUUAUAAAAACCGUAAUAAUUGGGAACGGGUCGUUACAUUCCUACAACAACAAAACACAACAACAACCAAGCGUUAUGCUAUUAAGUGGGGUCAACUGUACUCCACUACGAUGGAGUUAACACCAAAUCUUUCGUUAGCUACAAAUACUUCAUAUCAUUUCCUAUAGUCUAUUUCCAAGUCUUCCUAACUUUUCCUCCACCCCUUAUGCCCUAAGCCUCCCUCUCAUAGUUGCCUUUUCUACCAUAGCUUUUUUAGAUAUUUGUUUCAUGUACCCAAACCAUCUUAACUGAUUUUCUUUCAUCUUAUCUUCAAUGGAGACAAGUCAUAUUUUGCCUCAGAUGUCCUCGUUGUUAAUCUAAUCAUUUUGACACCCUGACCGCAAUAACACAAGUUACGAGGCCGAGAUAUCCUGGCUGUCAGACCAUAUGGCCCCAUUUAGGAAUGACUUCACAAGCCAACUUAAUAACAAAGCCAUAGUAAGACAAUUACGAUGUGAGUGAAUUUGAAUCAAAACAUUCAUUAAUAAUAAAUCAAAAGGUGCUACAAAGUUUCCUAAUCAACCUCCCCACUUGGGAAUAUAUAUUCAAGGUUUAGAUCCCAUUAUUAUCACAUCACAUCAGAGCAGCUAGAAGUUUCAUACAACAAUAAACACAUAAAAGUGUAGUGCUAUGCAUAAUCAAGAGUGCGAUCGUGCAAAUAUUACUGACAAAAUAAAUAUGCAGUAGAGGAAUCAUCACCAAAAUCCAAAGGAUGAAACCUCACUACCAAGCCCACUUGCCACCACUGAGGUUCUCCUGAUUCUCGCUAUGUCCUGAGGGAUUGAUAAAUAAAGUAUGAGUGGAUCAAGUUUUAUCUCGUCAAAAAUCAAUUGAAUAAUCUCCAUUUUGAAAUCAUCUAUUGUAGAAUUAUCAAAGAGACGAGCUUAGGGCCCACAUCCAACAAUAUCGAUAUAGCCCCAACUUGGUAAUUAUUGCCCACACAAUCUGUCAGGUGUGAAGUUUUAUCACAAAAGGCCUUGGUGUUAGAUGAAGUGGGGACAUGCUAUUUAAACUCUUAUGUACUUAGAGAUAUGGCUGAUGUGGGAUAUUUCAACACCUAUAUAUAUAUAUAUAUAUAUAUAUAUAUAUAUAUAUAUAUAUAUAUUAAAAACUACCUGCAUAAUAAUAUUACCAUAAUAGUGGUCACAAUCAAUUCAUCUCGCACGUCAUAUCAAAGAAAGUAAGUCAUUCAUAAAAUCUAAGUAAUAUAAUAUGAUUUUAUCAAUAUCGUAGAUGGUUCUUAUAAUCAUGUAUACGCACGUUGGUGCGACUUCAAUUCCAAUGAUCUCUCUCUUUUAACAACUAACUAUAUUUAUUUCAUAAACAAUAUCAUUUGUAUAUAUAUAAAAAAAUGAUUUGAUCAUAUUAAUUCUGCAUAGUCCCCUCAAGUUGGAUAGUAAAUGUCAUAAAUCAAGUUUUUUAGUCAAAAUGGAGUCCUUGAGAUUUGCCUACUUCGUCACCUUGGUCUCUGAGAUUCAAAAUCAAUAGAGUGGUCUAUGAGAUAGUCCACCAACAAUCAUUUUGGUCAUUUGGUGAAAAAUUGAGUUAAAUAAGAAUUAAAAUGACAAAUUUACCCUCAAUGUAAUACACAAUAGGCCAUCAUGAUUUGACAAAAGUUGAGGGUAUUUUUGUCAUUUUAUCCUUAUUUGAGAUUUUUUACGGAAUGACGAAAAUGAUUGAUUGCGGACAAACUCAGGGAUCAAUUCUAUCGAUUUCAAAUCUCAAGGACAAAAGUGAGGAGUUAUGCAAACCUCAAUAACCAUUUCCACUAAAAAAAUUAUUAUUCCUAAUUUCCUAAACCCCUUGGGAAGAUAUCUACCAAUUGUACUCGAGAAGAAAUGCAGGAAUGAGGAAUAUAUAAAGACAAGCGAUACUUGCUCUUUGUUGCAAAAAACGACACUUAAAGGUCAAUUUUCCCAAGUUUUUCACCGCUGUUUUUACCGUUCGCUGCAAAAAAAAAAAAGACUAUCCCCUUGCGAGCUCCGUCGUCAAUUCCCCCCGCGAACUCUGAGUCCCUCUGAAAUAAUGAUUAACAUAAAUUUGAAUUUCUCAAACUCUGUGUUUGGUUGUAUCUAACGAUCCCUAAUUCCAAAUUUAUGGCUUAGAUACAUAAAAAAGAUAUCUCGGGUACUUCAUUGCUAUCCAUUAAGCUCCCCAGUUUCAAGCCAAGCAAAAAAAUCUAAUUGAGUUGAGUUUUGAACAUGUAGAGUAGUUAGACAAUUGAAUUACCAAUCUUUAUUAUUAUUGCAACAAACACACGGAUUACACUAAAAGCUAGUUAAUCAUACACUUGCAGAUGACUUAUCCAAACACAAAGAUAAGACAUGAGUUUAUUAUUAUUGCUAUAAACACACGGAUUACAGCGAAAUGCAAAAACUAAAAACAAGGAAAAAAGUAGUGAUGAAAACCAAUGCUACUUUCGCGGGGAACACGAUUGCAUUCGCACAUGCAACAAGCCUUUUAAACCCAUAGGUGACCCAAAUGGGACGAGUGAAGUCUCGUGAGGGUUUCCAGAGACGUUACCCACAAACAUCAUGCAUACUGA